Molecule: long non-coding RNA, 629 nt
Organism: Vespula pensylvanica (western yellowjacket)
Lineage: Eukaryota; Metazoa; Arthropoda; Insecta; Hymenoptera; Vespidae
Exons: 5
Source: RefSeq, a predicted model, not a curated record
AUUCUGUUGCGAGUCGCCCUGCAAGCACGUUCUCGUGAGCUUUGAAGAUGGACGGUCCGGAGUAAUAUAAAAGCGCCUCUCCAGUCCGGAUAAUGGAAACCAUCUGUAGCAUUUUAAGCAACACGCUAUCGGAUAUAGUUUUCCAUGCGGUGUUACCACAUACUUUGCGGGAAGUCGAUAUUCCUUAUAUAAACGUCAAGAAGAGUGGACCGCAUAAUUCAAGGAAUCAUUAAAGAGGAAUAUUAAAGGCUACCACGAGCAUUUAUUCCUGGCAAUUUGCUGCGGGUGCGACAGAACUUCGAUGUUUACUCUUCGGAGUAGAAAGGAUGAAUGAUCCGGUGUCCCGUGGAGCUUUUAACGGAAUGUACUUUUGAUAAAACAGCGGCUUAUUCACCUUCUUGUACAUCUAUUUGGUUCAAAUCGAUUUAAAAUUACCGAAAGUAUUAAGUUUGACGUUUUCACCUGUGAAAAGUGUAGGCAAUCAUCAGAUUAACUCAAAGGACUGGCUGUAUAAAAACAAUGAUCCCGCUGAAUAAUCAAUUGACACUGAUAAAUGAAGAUAAGAAAAAUUAAAAUACGCUUUAUCUUAUCGAAAGUGUUGUUUAAAAUGAUAUAAACGAUAUAAUACA